Molecule: ribosomal RNA, 314 nt
Filed under: uncultured bacterium
Lineage: Bacteria
Description: bacterial SSU rRNA
Rfam family: Bacterial small subunit ribosomal RNA
Source: RNAcentral
CUUCAUGUAUACUCCAUCUCGUAUGGUAUUAAAGUCUUUAUGCGCUUUGGGAGGGCCUGCGUAACAUUAGCUUGUUGGUGAGGUAAAAGCUCACCAAGGCUUCGAUGUUUAACUGGUUUGAGAGGAUGACCAGUCACACUGGGACUGAGAUACGGCCCAGACUCCUACGGGAGGCAGCAGUAAGGAAUCUUCCACAAUGGGGCAACCCUGAUGGAGCAAUACCGCGUGCAGGAUGAAGCGUUUCGGCGUGUAAACUGCUUUUAUCACCGAAGAUUAUGACUGUAGGUGAAGAAUAAGGACCGGCUAACUACGUG